This 463-nucleotide ribosomal RNA is filed under the name uncultured bacterium. RNAcentral's name for it is "partial 16S ribosomal RNA". It matches the Rfam family "Bacterial small subunit ribosomal RNA", at positions 28 to 507 of the family's 1533-position model. The record is from RNAcentral.
GACGAACGCUGGCGGCGUGCUUAACACAUGCAAGUCGAACGGAAAGGCCCUGCUUGCAGGGUACUCGAGUGGCGAACGGGUGAGUAACACGUGGGUGAUCUGCCCUGCACUUCGGGAUAAGCCUGGGAAACUGGGUCUAAUACCGGAUAGGAGCCAUUUUUAGUGUGAUGGUUGGAAAGUUUUUUCGGUGUAGGAUGAGCUCGCGGCCUAUCAGCUUGUUGGUGGGGUAAUGGCCUACCAAGGCGGCGACGGGUAGCCGGCCUGAGAGGGUGGACGGCCACAUUGGGACUGAGAUACGGCCCAGACUCCUACGGGAGGCAGCAGUGGGGAAUAUUGCACAAUGGGCGCAAGCCUGAUGCAGCGACGCCGCGUGGGGGAUGACGGCCUUCGGGUUGUAAACUCCUUUCGCUAGGGACGAAGCUUUGUGACGGUACCUAGAUAAGAAGCACCGGCUAACUACGUG